GAAGGUGUAAGUUAAAUUGAUAAACUUUGUGGUUCAUGUUCACAUAAUAUACUUUUAGUAUCUCCUUUU
This 69-nucleotide transfer RNA is filed under the name Cotylurus marcogliesei. RNAcentral's name for it is "tRNA-Met". The record is from RNAcentral. Lineage: Eukaryota; Metazoa; Platyhelminthes; Trematoda; Diplostomida; Strigeidae.